Non-coding RNA from Acanthosepion pharaonis, 114 nucleotides. The record is from the annotation of a GenBank genome assembly. NCBI's taxonomy places the organism in Eukaryota, Metazoa, Mollusca, Cephalopoda, Sepiida, Sepiidae.
UUACGGCUAUAUCACGUUGAAACACCGGUUCUCGCAAGAUCAGGGAAGUUAAGCAACGUCGAAUCUUGUCAAUAUCGAGAUAGGUGAUCGCUUGGGAAUACCAAGUGCUGUAAG